This 77-nucleotide transfer RNA is filed under the name Bacillus anthracis (anthrax bacterium). RNAcentral's name for it is "tRNA-Arg". It matches the Rfam family "tRNA". Rfam says of the family: Transfer RNA (tRNA) molecules are approximately 80 nucleotides in length. Their secondary structure includes four short double-helical elements and three loops (D, anti-codon, and T loops). Further hydrogen bonds mediate the characteristic L-shaped molecular structure. tRNAs have two regions of fundamental functional importance: the anti-codon, which is responsible for specific mRNA codon recognition, and the 3' end, to which the tRNAs corresponding amino acid is attached (by aminoacyl-tRNA synthetases). tRNAs cope with the degeneracy of the genetic code in two manners: having more than one tRNA (with a specific anti-codon) for a particular amino acid; and 'wobble' base-pairing, i.e. permitting non-standard base-pairing at the 3rd anti-codon position. Lineage: Bacteria; Bacillati; Bacillota; Bacilli; Caryophanales; Bacillaceae. The record is from RNAcentral. RNAcentral also lists the same sequence under 2 other names.
GCGCCCUUAGCUCAGCUGGAUAGAGUAGCUGACUUCGAAUCAGUUGGUCGCAGGUUCGAAUCCUGCAGGGCGUGCCA